This 786-nucleotide ribosomal RNA is filed under the name uncultured bacterium. RNAcentral describes it as "bacterial SSU rRNA". It matches the Rfam family "Bacterial small subunit ribosomal RNA", at positions 8 to 796 of the family's 1533-position model. The record is from RNAcentral.
AGAGUUUGAUCAUGGCUCAGAACGAACGUUGGCGGCGUGGAUUAGGCAUGCAAGUCGAACGAGAACCAGCCCUGUAGCAAUACAGGGCUGGGGAUAGUGGCGAAAGGGGCAGUAAUGCGUGGGUAACGUACCCCGGGGAUGGGAACACAGAGGUAACACUCGUAAAUCCCCAGCGAUUCGGCGGAGGGGCAUCUCUCUGCCGGGAAAUGAGUUUCGCCUCGGGAGCGGCUCACGUCGUAUUAGCUUGUUGGCGAGGUAACGGCUCACCAAGGCUAAGAUGCGUAGCGGGUGUGAGAGCACGACCCGCGCCACUGGCACUGAGACACUGGCCAGACACCUACGGGUGGCUGCAGUCGAGGAUCUUCGGCAAUGGGCGCAAGCCUGACCGAGCGACGCCGCGUGUGCGAAGAAGGCCUUCGGGUUGUAAAGCACUGUCGAGGGGGAGGAAAGCCGCAAGGUCUGACCUAUCCCUGGAGGAAGCACGGGCUAAGUUCGUGCCAGCAGCCGCGGUAAGACGAACCGUGCGAACGUUGUUCGGAUUCACUGGGCUUAAAGGGCGCGUAGGCGGGCAAGCAAGUCCGGGGUGAAAUCUUUCGGCUUAACCGGAAAAGUGCCUUGGAUACUGCUUGUCUAGAGGGAGAUAGGGGUUGCGGGAACUUCCGGUGGAGCGGUGAAAUGCGUUGAUAUCGGAAGGAACGCCGGUGGCGAAAGCGCGCAACUGGACCUCUUCUGACGCUGAGGCGCGAAAGCUAGGGGAGCAAACGGGAUUAGAUACCCCAGUAGUCC